AGUAAAGUCAGCUAAGUAAAGCUUUUGGGCCCAUGCCCCAAACAUGAUGGUUAGAGUCCCUCCUAUACUA
This 70-nucleotide transfer RNA is filed under the name Physiculus japonicus (Japanese codling). RNAcentral's name for it is "tRNA-Met". It matches the Rfam family "tRNA". Rfam says of the family: Transfer RNA (tRNA) molecules are approximately 80 nucleotides in length. Their secondary structure includes four short double-helical elements and three loops (D, anti-codon, and T loops). Further hydrogen bonds mediate the characteristic L-shaped molecular structure. tRNAs have two regions of fundamental functional importance: the anti-codon, which is responsible for specific mRNA codon recognition, and the 3' end, to which the tRNAs corresponding amino acid is attached (by aminoacyl-tRNA synthetases). tRNAs cope with the degeneracy of the genetic code in two manners: having more than one tRNA (with a specific anti-codon) for a particular amino acid; and 'wobble' base-pairing, i.e. permitting non-standard base-pairing at the 3rd anti-codon position. Lineage: Eukaryota; Metazoa; Chordata; Actinopteri; Gadiformes; Moridae. RNAcentral also lists the same sequence under 2 other names. The record is from RNAcentral.